RNAcentral lists this ribosomal RNA (618 nucleotides) under uncultured Fusobacteriota bacterium. RNAcentral's name for it is "bacterial SSU rRNA". It matches the Rfam family "Bacterial small subunit ribosomal RNA", at positions 90 to 722 of the family's 1533-position model. Lineage: Bacteria; Fusobacteriati; Fusobacteriota. The record is from RNAcentral.
UUUGGGUGGCGGACGGGUGAGUAACGCGUAAAGAACUUGCCUCACAGCUAGGGACAACAUUUGGAAACGAAUGCUAAUACCUAAUAUUAUGAUAAUAGGGCAUCCUAUAAUUAUGAAAGCUAUAAGCGCUGUGAGAGAGCUUUGCGUCCCAUUAGCUAGUUGGAGAGGUAACAGCUCACCAAGGCGAUGAUGGGUAGCCGGCCUGAGAGGGUGAUCGGCCACAAGGGGACUGAGACACGGCCCUUACUCCUACGGGAGGCAGCAGUGGGGAAUAUUGGACAAUGGACCAAGAGUCUGAUCCAGCAAUUCUGUGUGCACGAUGAAGUUUUUCGGAAUGUAAAGUGCUUUCAGUUGGGAAGAAAAAAAUGACGGUACCAACAGAAGAAGUGACGGCUAAAUACGUGCCAGCAGCCGCGGUAAUACGUAUGUCACGAGCGUUAUCCGGAUUUAUUGGGCGUAAAGCGCGUCUAGGUGGUUAUGUAAGUCUGAUGUGAAAAUGCAGGGCUCAACUCUGUAUUGCGUUGGAAACUGUAUAACUAGAGUACUGGAGAGGUAAGCGGAACUACAAGUGUAGAGGUGAAAUUCGUAGAUAUUUGUAGGAAUGCCGAUGGGGAAGCC